This 468-nucleotide ribosomal RNA is filed under the name uncultured bacterium. RNAcentral's name for it is "partial 16S ribosomal RNA". It matches the Rfam family "Bacterial small subunit ribosomal RNA", at positions 28 to 507 of the family's 1533-position model. The record is from RNAcentral.
GACGAACGCUGGCGGCGUGCUUAACACAUGCAAGUCGAACGGAAAGGCCCUGCUUUUGUGGGGUGCUCGAGUGGCGAACGGGUGAGUAACACGUGAGUAACCUGCCCUUGACUUUGGGAUAACUUCAGGAAACUGGGGCUAAUACCGGAUAGGAGCUCCUGCUGCAUGGUGGGGGUUGGAAAGUUUCGGCGGUUGGGGAUGGACUCGCGGCUUAUCAGCUUGUUGGUGGGGUAGUGGCUUACCAAGGCUUUGACGGGUAGCCGGCCUGAGAGGGUGACCGGCCACAUUGGGACUGAGAUGAGGCACAGACUCCUACGGGAGGCAGCAGAGGGGAAUAGUGCACAAUGGGCGGAAGCCUGAUGCAGCAACGCCGCGUGCGGGAUGACGUCCUUCGGGUUGUAAACCGCUUUCGCCUGUGACGAAGCGUGAGUGACGGUAAUGGGUAAAGAAGCACCGGCUAACUACGUG